This is a long non-coding RNA of Pipistrellus kuhlii (Kuhl's pipistrelle), 169 nucleotides long. RefSeq lists it as uncharacterized. NCBI's taxonomy places the organism in Eukaryota, Metazoa, Chordata, Mammalia, Chiroptera, Vespertilionidae. The record is from RefSeq and is a predicted model, not a curated record. The transcript is spliced from 3 exons.
CCUAGCCACAGUGUUACCUCUUCUCUUUCAGUCCAGUUGUAGAAUUUCCACUCGGCCAGCCUUCCUGUUGUUCUGGAUGAUGUCUGUUUUGUCUUUUAAUUGUAGUUUUGAAGUGGUUGUGUGAGGCAGCAAUUUCAGUUGUUUACCUAUGCUGCCAUCAUGGAUCCUU